This 959-nucleotide ribosomal RNA is filed under the name Sycettusa sp. MM-2004. Its description in RNAcentral is "eukaryotic LSU rRNA". It matches the Rfam family "Eukaryotic large subunit ribosomal RNA", at positions 498 to 1179 of the family's 3401-position model. Lineage: Eukaryota; Metazoa; Porifera; Calcarea; Leucosolenida; Heteropiidae. The record is from RNAcentral.
GCUAGCAAUGUACGUCUGUGGUUCAGCCGGCUAGUCUUGUCGAGUUGCCGUUGUGCGGAUCCGAAUGGACUGCCUGCGGUGACGGCGGUGGGCAGAGCUAUGGUGCACCUCCAUGGACAGUGCGCGUCAGCGUCGGUUCCCGACGGAUGACAAGGUGCGUGGGAAAGGUAGCUCGAUCUUCGGAGCGAGUGUUACAGACCCGUGCACUGGAUUCGUCGUGGGACCGAGGAGAGAGAUGAUCGCUGCGGUACCUGCCUUUCGGGGCUAGCCAGCUGUUGCCAGGUGUGCGCCAGAUGCUGAGGACUGCACGCAGUGCUCGGUGUUGAGGUGUGGCCUGGUGGUGGUGUGGGUAUAGAGGUACCUAGGACGCUGGCGUCCAAAUGGCCGUGCGCGACCCGUCUUGAAACACGGACCAAGGAGUCUAACAUGUGCGCGAGUCUUAGGGUGUGCAAGCCCUCGGGCGCAAUGAAAGUGAAGGUUCGGCACUAGUCGAGCUGAGGUGAGAGCCACUUCUAGCCUGUGCUACGGUGGCGCAUCAUCGGCCGGUCCAUCCUGCUCUCAGGGGGAUCCGAGCAAGAGCGUAUUUGUUGGGACCCGAAAGAUGGUGAACUAUGCCUGAAUAGGGUGAAGCCAGAGGAAACUCUGGUGGAGGCUCGUAGCGAUUCUGACGUGCAAAUCGAUCGUCAAAUUUGGGUAUAGGGGCGAAAGACUAAUCGAACCAUCUAGUAGCUGGUUCCCUCCGAAGUUUCCCUCAGGAUAGCUGGAACUCGUAAACACAGUUUUAUCAGGUAAAGCGAAUGAUUAGAGGUCUUGGGGGUGAAACACCCUCAACCUAUUCUCAAACUUUAAAUCGGUAAGAAGCGCGACUUGCUCAAUUGAAGCCGCGCAACCAAUGUGAGUUCCAAGUGGGCCAUUUUUGGUAAGCAGAACUGGCGAUGCGGGAUGAACCGAACGCUCGG